Molecule: transfer RNA, 75 nt
Filed under: Tissierellia bacterium
Lineage: Bacteria; Bacillati; Bacillota; Tissierellia
Description: tRNA-Trp
Rfam family: tRNA
About the family: Transfer RNA (tRNA) molecules are approximately 80 nucleotides in length.
Source: RNAcentral
AGGGGUAUAGUUCAGUGGGAGAACGUCGGUCUCCAAAACCGGAUGUCGCGGGUUCAAAUCCUGCUGCCCCUGCCA